RNAcentral lists this ribosomal RNA (363 nucleotides) under Photobacterium pectinilyticum. RNAcentral describes it as "partial 23S ribosomal RNA". It matches the Rfam family "Bacterial large subunit ribosomal RNA", at positions 1551 to 1897 of the family's 2925-position model. Lineage: Bacteria; Pseudomonadati; Pseudomonadota; Gammaproteobacteria; Vibrionales; Vibrionaceae. The record is from RNAcentral.
UAACGCUGAGAUACGAUGUCGAGCUACUACGGUAGUGAAGUCAUUGAUGCCAUGCUUCCAGGAAAAGCCUCUAAGCUUCAGAUUGUAAGGAAUCGUACCCCAAACCGACACAGGUGGUCGGGUAGAGAAUACCAAGGCGCUUGAGAGAACUCGGGUGAAGGAACUAGGCAAAAUGGUACCGUAACUUCGGGAGAAGGUACGCUCUUAUCAGUGAAGUCCCUUGCGGAUGGAGCAGACGAGAGUCGCAGAUACCAGGUGGCUGCAACUGUUUAUUAAAAACACAGCACUGUGCAAAAUCGUAAGAUGACGUAUACGGUGUGACGCCUGCCCGGUGCCGGAAGGUUAAUUGAUGGGGUUAGACUU